Molecule: ribosomal RNA, 465 nt
Filed under: uncultured bacterium
Lineage: Bacteria
Description: partial 16S ribosomal RNA
Rfam family: Bacterial small subunit ribosomal RNA
Source: RNAcentral
GACGAACGCUGGCGGCGUGCUUAACACAUGCAAGUCGAACGGAAAGGCCCUGCUUUUGUGGGGUGCUUGAGUGGCGAACGGGUGAGUAACACGUGAGUAACCUGCCCUUGACUUUGGGAUAACUUCAGGAAACUGGGGCUAAUACCGGAUAGGAGCUCCUGCUGCAUGGUGGGGGUUGGAAAGUUUCGGCGGUUGGGGAUGGACGCGCGGCUUAUCAGCUUGUUGGUGGGGUAGUGGCUUACCAAGGCUUUGACGGGUAGCCGGCCUGAGAGGGUGACCGGCCACAUUGGGACUGAGAUACGGAGCAGACUCCUACGGGCGGCAGCAGUGGGGAAUAUCGCACAAUGGGCGGAAGCCUGAUGCAGCAACGCCGCGGGCGAGAUGACGGCCUGCGGGUUGUAAACAGCUGUCGACUGUGACGAAGCGUGAGUGACGGUAAUGGGUAAAGAAGCACCGGAUAACUAC